RNAcentral lists this ribosomal RNA (465 nucleotides) under uncultured bacterium. RNAcentral's name for it is "partial 16S ribosomal RNA". It matches the Rfam family "Bacterial small subunit ribosomal RNA", at positions 28 to 507 of the family's 1533-position model. The record is from RNAcentral.
GACGAACGCUGGCGGCGUGCUUAACACAUGCAAGUCGAACGGAAAGGCCCCUUCGGGGGUACUCGAGUGGCGAACAGGUGAGUAACACGUGAGUAACCUGCCCUUGACUUCGGGAUAACUUCAGGAAACUGGGGCUAAUACCGGAUAGGAAUCCUUGCUGCAUGGUGGGGGUUGGAAAGCUUCGGCGGUUUUGGAUGGACUCGCGGCUUAUCAGCUUGUUGGUGGGGUAGUGGCUUACCAAGGCUUUGACGGGUAGCCGGCCUGAGAGGGCGACCGGCCACAUUGGGACUGAGAUACGGCCCAGAAUCCUACGGGAGGCAGCAGUGGGGAAUAUUGCACAAUGGGCGGAAGCCUGAUGCAGCAACGCCGCGUGCGGGAUGACGGCCUUCGGGUUGUAAAACGCUUUCAGCAGGGGAGAAGCUUGUGGUGACGGUACCUGCAGAAGAAGCACCGGCUAACUACGUG